This is a non-coding RNA of Vigna umbellata (rice bean), 262 nucleotides long. Lineage: Eukaryota; Viridiplantae; Streptophyta; Magnoliopsida; Fabales; Fabaceae. The record is from RefSeq and is a predicted model, not a curated record.
UUAUGAGAAGGCACUUUUAGAGUAUGAAAAGCAUAAGAGAGAGACUGGGGAGCUACAGCUCCCUGUUGGAGCAUUUCAUCAAUCUCCAAAUGUGGAAAAAGAGUCUAGGGAUCAUCAGAGGUGGUCGGUUGCUGUGGAUUCUCUACAGAAAAUGAUAGGGAAGGAGAAAUUUUACAGAAAAGAGCAUUUGAAACAUGACUUGGAAGCAUGUAACAACAUUUCAACCUCUACCAUCUGUUUGUAUAUAUCAAAUAAUGAGUUU